Molecule: ribosomal RNA, 792 nt
Filed under: uncultured archaeon
Lineage: Archaea
Description: bacterial SSU rRNA
Rfam family: Archaeal small subunit ribosomal RNA
Source: RNAcentral
ACGGCUCAGUAACACGUGGAUAACCUGCCCAAGGGUCUGGGAUAACCCCGGGAAACUGGGGAUAAUACCGGAUGGAUCACUAGUGCUGGAAUGCUUGGUGGUCGAAAGGCAACGCCUUUGGAUGGGUCUGCGGCGGAUUAGGUUGACGCCGGUGUAACGUACCGGCGUGCCUGUAAUCCGUACGGGUUGUGGGAGCAAGAGCCCGGAGAUGGAUUCUGAGACACGAAUCCAGGCCCUACGGGGCGCAGCAGGCGCGAAAACUCUACAAUGCAGGCAACUGCGAUAGGGGGACAUCGAGUGGCAUCCACCUUGGGUGCCUGUCCAACCGUCUAAAAAACGGUUGUUAGCAAGGGCCGGGUAAGACCGGUGCCAGCCGCCGCGGUAAUACCGGCGGCUCGAGUGGUGGCCGAUAUUAUUGAGUCUAAAGGGUCCGUAGCCGGCUUUGCAAGUCCCCUGGGAAAUCCAGCGGCUUAACCGUUGGGCUUUCAUGGGAUACUACAUUGCUUGGGACUGGGAGAGGUAGGAGGUACUCGGGGGGUAGGGGUGAAAUCCUGUAAUCCUCCGGGGGACCACCGGUGGCGAAGGCGUCCUACCAGAACAGGUCCGACGGUGAGGGACGAAAGCUAGGGGCACGAACCGGAUUAGAUACCCGGGUAGUCCUAGCCGUAAACGAUGCCCCGCUGGGUGUCACGACGGUCGUGAAUCGUCGUGGUGCCGUAGGGAAGCCGCGAGCGGGCCACUUGGGAAGUACGGGCCGCAAGGCUGAAACUAAAGGAAUUUGGCGGGGGAGCA